UGCAAGUCGAGCGGAUGAAGGGAGCUUGCUCCCGGAUUUAGCGGCGGACGGGUGAGUAAUGCCUAGGAAUCUGCCUGGUAGUGGGGGACAACGACUCGAAAGGGUCGCUAAUACCGCAUACGUCCUACGGGAGAAAGUGGGGGAUCUUCGGACCUCACGCUAUCAGAUGAGCCUAGGUCGGAUUAGCUAGUAGGUGAGGUAAUGGCUCACCUAGGCAACGAUCCGUAACUGGUCUGAGAGGAUGAUCAGUCACACUGGAACUGAGACACGGUCCAGACUCCUACGGGAGGCAGCAGUGGGGAAUAUUGGACAAUGGGCGAAAGCCUGAUCCAGCCAUGCCGCGUGUGUGAAGAAGGUCUUCGGAUUGUAAAGCACUUUAAGUUGGGAGGAAGGGUUGUAGUCUAAUACGCUGCAAUCUUGACGUUACCAACAGAAUAAGCACCGGCUAACUCUGUGCCAGCAGCCGCGGUAAUACAGAGGGUGCAAGCGUUAAUCGGAAUUACUGGGCGUAAAGCGCGCGUAGGCGGCUUGAUAAGAUGGGUGUGAAAUCCCCGGGCUUAACCUGGGAACUGCAUCCAUAACUGUCUGGCUAGAGUACAGUAGA
RNAcentral lists this ribosomal RNA (604 nucleotides) under Halopseudomonas aestusnigri. Its description in RNAcentral is "bacterial SSU rRNA". It matches the Rfam family "Bacterial small subunit ribosomal RNA", at positions 56 to 655 of the family's 1533-position model. The record is from RNAcentral. Lineage: Bacteria; Pseudomonadati; Pseudomonadota; Gammaproteobacteria; Pseudomonadales; Pseudomonadaceae.